Molecule: long non-coding RNA, 1432 nt
Filed under: Lathyrus oleraceus (garden pea)
Lineage: Eukaryota; Viridiplantae; Streptophyta; Magnoliopsida; Fabales; Fabaceae
Description: Pisum sativum (pea) long non-coding RNA (PSAT_LNC014778)
Source: RNAcentral
GGUUAUGAGUUCUUUUACCUUUUCAUAGUGUUAAGUACGGAUAUUCAAAAGAAAUGUCCUAACACGACUUUUUAGAGAGAGGCUAUCUCUUCUUUCUAAAAAAUCUCUUCUCAAACUUUUAGAGUUUGUUGGUAGCUGCCUCCCAAUUUUAUGGUAGCUUUGAUCUACCACCUAUAUGACGGUCAUCUCACUACUACGGAAUAUAUAUCUUAUCACGGUUGGGAGAAAGAUUCUACUAUGAACGGUGAUCUGUGGUAAAGUAAGAUGUGGCUGUAUGUGUCCUCUUUACCAUCACGAACUACUAGACGUUGUAAAAACAUAGAAGCGCAUAAUAUACCAAUACAUAUGUAUUAAACAACCGUAGUAAAAGGUUGAGGUCAGGUUUUGAUACCUAGCGCCAGAAUUUUUUGCAGAUUUCAAUACAUUUCACCACGAUUCUAUAUCUCAAUCGUGGUAAAAGACUUAGCGCACAAUAUUUCACUAUGAUCCUCAAUUCCAACCGUGGAGAUAUGCUUAUUUGAGUUUAUUAUAAAUUAUGUGAAAUGUUUAUUUCACAAACUACUCACUAAAAAUAAUACCUUUCAAUAUGAGUUAGAAAUUAAUAAUUUGAUAAAUUAAGUUAUAUUUUUAAAAGAACAUUUACACUAAUCAAUAUUUUACGAACUUUUAUAAUCCAUUAUCCGCAUUUUACUCUUUAACGAUUAGAACUUGUUUCAAUGCUUAUAAUUCUUCUGUUAACACUUCUUACACCUCUAGUUAAUUUUACAAAAUAUUAUUUAUUUUGUAGACAAAAUUAGAGGUUAAGGAAGUAAUAGUUGAAGAACUAAAAACAUUGAAUCACGGUCUAACCUUUAAAGAGAAAGAUAUGAAUAAUACUCUGCAGAAAGCUCGUAAAAUAUUGAUUAGUAUAAGUUAUUUUCUAAUAUAACUUAAUAAAUCAUAUUAUAAUUUUCUAACUCAAUUCGAAGGUUAUAUAUAUUUAGUAAGGGGUUGGAAAAACACUCAAACCAUAUAUGAUAUCAUAAACUCAUCUUCUAUGACAUGUUGAUUGAACGUAAUGAAAGUUGCAAUGUACAACAACAUAGAACUUUUAUCGACAACAACAUACCUUAAAGAACAUAGAACUUUUAUCAACAAAAAAAUAAUCAUCAACAACAUAGAACUUUUAUCAACAACAACAUACUUUAAACAACAAACAACAUAACUCAACAAAAACAAAAACAUCAACAACAUAGAACUUUUAUCAAAACCAACAUACUUUAAGCAACAUACAUAUCUCAACAAAAACAAAAUCAUCAACCAUAGAAUUUUUAUCAACAACACCAUACUUUAAACAAUGUACAACAUAGCUCAACAAAAACAAAGUCAUCAACAACAUACAACUUUUGUCAUCAACUACAUAUUUUAAAUAACAUACAACAUAGCUAAAAAA